RNAcentral lists this long non-coding RNA (247 nucleotides) under Lathyrus oleraceus (garden pea). RNAcentral's name for it is "Pisum sativum (pea) long non-coding RNA (PSAT_LNC024446)". The record is from RNAcentral. Lineage: Eukaryota; Viridiplantae; Streptophyta; Magnoliopsida; Fabales; Fabaceae.
UUUAAGUGUUUUUAUGGUGCUGAAAAUGGAUCGAAGAUGGUAAUAUUUUUGAAGGAAGUGUGGUGAGUUUUCUAUAGAGAUUCGAUGGCUUCAAAGCUUGGUUGAUGAGUGGAGAAGCAUUCCCUAUUUAUAGUGAGGGUUAUGGAGUGAUUAGGUUAGAAUUCUGGUGUGGAAAUCUCUGAAAUGGUUGAGCCCGAAAAAUGACAAAAUUGCAAACUUGUUAGCUAAGUGUGCUCUCUCUUUCCUC